Molecule: ribosomal RNA, 460 nt
Filed under: uncultured bacterium
Lineage: Bacteria
Description: bacterial SSU rRNA
Rfam family: Bacterial small subunit ribosomal RNA
Source: RNAcentral
GACACGCUGGCGGCGUGCUUAACACAUGCAAGUCGAGCGAUGAAGUUUCCUUCGGGAACGGAUUAGCGGCGACGGGUGAGUAACACGUGGGUAACCUGCCUCAUAGAGGGGAAUAGCCUUUCGAAAGGAAGAUUAAUACCGCAUAAGAUUGUAAUGCCGCAUGGCAUAGCAAUUAAAGGAGCAAUCCGCUAUGAGAUGGACCCGCGUCGCAUUAGCUAGUUGGUGAGGUAACGGCUCACCAAGGCGACGAUGCGUAGCCGACCUGAGAGGGUGAUCGGCCACAUUGGGACUGAGACACGGCCCAGACUCCUACGGGAGGCAGCAGUGGGGAAUAUUGCACAAUGGGGGAAACCCUGAUGCAGCAACGCCGCGUGAGUGAUGACGGUCUUCGGAUUGUAAAGCUCUGUCUUUAGGGACGAUAAUGACGGUACCUAAGGAGGAAGCCACGGCUAACUACGUG